AUUGUUUUGGCAGAUUAGUGCCAUGAAUUUAGAAUUCAUAAAUGUAAUUAUUUUACAAACAAUA
This 64-nucleotide transfer RNA is filed under the name Neopanorpa pulchra. RNAcentral describes it as "tRNA-Leu". Lineage: Eukaryota; Metazoa; Arthropoda; Insecta; Mecoptera; Panorpidae. The record is from RNAcentral.